Molecule: ribosomal RNA, 443 nt
Filed under: uncultured bacterium
Lineage: Bacteria
Description: partial 16S ribosomal RNA
Rfam family: Bacterial small subunit ribosomal RNA
Source: RNAcentral
CCUACGGGUGGCAGCAGUGGGGAAUAUUGGGCAAUGGAGGAAACUCUGACCCAGCAACGCCGCGUGAAUGAUGACGGCCUUCGGAUUGUAAAGCUCUUUUCUUAGGGAAGAAGAGAGUGACGGUACCUUAGGAUUAAGCGUCGUCUAAAUACGUGCAACCAGCCACGGUAAUACGUAGGCGGCAAGCGUUAUCCGGAAUGACUGGGUGUAAAGGGUGCGUAGGUGGUUUGACAAGUUGGUAGCGUUACUCAGGGGCUCAACCUCGUCACUACUACCAAAACUGUCGGACUUGAGUGCAGGUGGGGUAAAUGGAAUUCGUGGUGUAGCGGUGGAACGCGUAGAUAUUAGGAGGAACACCAGUGGCGAAGGCAGUUUGCUGGACUGUAACUGACACUGAGGCACGAAAGUGUGGGGAGCAAACAGGAUUAGAUACCCCAGUAGUC